UCUGUGUCUGUGUAUGUCUCUGAGUGUAUGUCUCAGUGUCUGUGUGUUUGUAUAUCUGUGUGUGUAUAUCUGUGUGUCUGUUGUGUCUCUGUCUCUCUGUCUGUCUCUCUGUAUGCGUGUAUGUGGAAACUCAAGGUUGAGGAAGUGUCUUCCUCUUCUUUUUUGAGACCAGGUCUCUCUCUGAGCCUGGAGCUUGCUGAUUGGCUAGGCUACAUGACCAAUGAGUCUGGGAAACCACCCGUCUCUACCUUCGUUAAUGUGGAGCUAUUUGAUAAUUUCUCUCUGAGAUACAUUCAGAUAAGAAAAUAAAAUAUGGUGGAGUUCUGUUUUACAUUUAGGAUAGUAUUCUAAUUAAAAUGAAAUUACUGAAUGCCUUCUCUUUUUCUUCUUUCUUUUUCUGCUCCUCUUUUCUUCCUCUUCCUUUUCCUCCUCUUCUUUCUUUGUUCCUCCUUCUCCUAUUCUGUUGUUUUGUAAGACAAAGUCUGUCUAUGUACCCCUGACUACCCUAGAACUUGCUGUGUAGACCAGGCUGUCCUGGAACUCAAUCUGCCUACCUCUGCCUCAGAGUGCUGGGAUUAAAGGCGCUCAGAAUGACACCAAGCUUGAAUGUCUGUCAGAGAGAAAAUGAAAAAUAGUAUAUUUGCCAUUUUAGAUCCUUAAGGUAACUGUCAGUCUCUGUCUAACUGUGGGAAGCAGGGGUUCCUUGUUCCUAGCAGUUUUAUUCUGUUAGUGAAUUUGGAUCAGUUUUUAGGAUAUAAACUAUUUUCUUUUUUUGCCUUUAAUGUUUUUCCACUCUGGGCUUAGCUCAUAAAACCUAGUUUUCUUAGCUUCUUAAUCCUGUAGUCAGCCAUUUUCUCCGUUGUUUUAAAAAGCAAGUGCUAUUUCCUCACAUUUGCAUAAUUCUCUCAAGUUUAUAAGUAAUAA
RNAcentral lists this long non-coding RNA (924 nucleotides) under Rattus norvegicus (Norway rat). Its description in RNAcentral is "long non-coding RNA NONRATT017372". Lineage: Eukaryota; Metazoa; Chordata; Mammalia; Rodentia; Muridae. The record is from RNAcentral.